AUUGAACGCUGGCGGAAUGCUUUACACAUGCAAGUCGAACGGUAGAGGGGGCAACCCCCUUGAGAGUGGCGAACGGGUGAGUAAUAUAUCGGAACGUGCCCAGUCGUGGGGGAUAACGUAGCGAAAGUUACGCUAAUACCGCAUACGAUCUAAGGAUGAAAGCGGGGGACUCGCAAGAGCCUCGCGCGAUUGGAGCGGCCGAUAUCAGAUUAGGUAGUUGGUGGGGUAAAGGCUCACCAAGCCAACGAUCUGUAGCUGGUCUGAGAGGACGACCAGCCACACUGGAACUGAGACACGGUCCAGACUCCUACGGGAGGCAGCAGUGGGGGAAUUUUGGACAAUGGACGCAAGUCUGAUCCAGCCAUUCCGCGUGCAGGAUGAAGGCCCUCGGGUUGGUAAACUGCUUUUGUACGGAACGAAAGGUUUCUAUUAAUACUAGGAGCUCAUGACGGUACCGUAAGAAUAAGCACCGGCUAACUACGUG
Molecule: ribosomal RNA, 484 nt
Filed under: uncultured bacterium
Lineage: Bacteria
Description: bacterial SSU rRNA
Rfam family: Bacterial small subunit ribosomal RNA
Source: RNAcentral